Molecule: long non-coding RNA, 1448 nt
Organism: Apis dorsata (giant honeybee)
Lineage: Eukaryota; Metazoa; Arthropoda; Insecta; Hymenoptera; Apidae
Exons: 2
Source: RefSeq, a predicted model, not a curated record
AGAAUCAUCGUUGGUGUUAUUCUGAAAUUUCCCUAGAGAUAUUAAACAUCCUUUUGUCUGUUAAAAAGGAAGGGAAGAGGAUAUCUCUUUUUUAAAUGAGAAAUAAAAAUUUGAAGAUUUGGAUUUCUUUCAGAAGAGGAAAUUCCAGGUGAAAUGAUUUAGAUGUACAAUUAUUUUUUGGUUGAAAUACGUUGAAUGAAAUUAUUAUUGAAUUGUUUCGUAAGUAAAAAUGAUUAUGUUUAGAAAGAUUGCUUGUUUAGGUAUAGGGAUUUUGAUAUUGUUAUCGUUUGCUCUAGAUUUUUGAAAGGGAAAUAUGGACAUGAUAUGUUUGAUUUAUGAGGGAUAUUCGUCUUAUUAUUAGUGGUCAGGCGUAUUUUCUACAAGUUCUUGGGAGAAUUUCAAGGGAAAUGAAUACCCAGGUGUAUACAUAAAUCUACAAUACGCUAUUAUUCGCUUUUUUAUUUCCUCGAUGAGCUAGAAAAUUUACUUAUUUAGGAUAUUAUGUUCAGAAUAUAGAAUCUCGAAUAUAACGUAAAAAAUAUAUCAUAAAGUAAAUUAUUUCACAUACAAAAAAAAAAAAAAUAAAAUAAAUUCAUAUUUAAAAAUUUCUUAAAAAAAAAAAAUCCUUCCUAUACACAAUCUUCAUAAAAUUGUACAAAUUAUAUUUCUUUCUACAUCCAUAUCAUUCGAUACAAUUUUAUCGAACCAUUUCCACAAAUCAACGAGUUCGUGCAAUGCAUCCUGAUAACGCACGACCUUCUUCUUGACAGAAUACGAAUAGAUAUUUGCAUAAUUACACGUUUUAUUGUACCCUUUUGGUCAUGAGGGUAAGAUCGAAUUUAUCUCAUUGGCCCUCACCUGUCCUGCACGAUGCGGGUCGGGACAACUGACCACCUGUACAGUCCCAGCAACAAAAAAAAAAAGGAACGACCUAGAAAUGUCUGUUAUUAAUGAGAGACUUCACAUUAACAGCUUAAUAAUUGACGAUCCUAUCUUUAGUGACUCUCACGCCCGAAAAUUCGUCACUUAAAUCGACCCAAAUCAAAUUAAAUCUUCAUUCUCUCGACGGUUAGUUUCACAAAACGUUUUACACCCUGUAUCGGUCCGAUCGGUCUCGGAAAUUUUAACGAGAUUUCGAAAGCGGCCCUCUCUGGUUAAACAAAGGUUGGACACGUUGUCAGAAAAGGAUCUGCGGAGGUAACAUUCUUGCGGCUGGUGCGAGCCGCAUCUCGAAGAUCGAGGUUGCGUUCUCGUCGUUCAAAAACGACGAUCCCGCAGGUCGUAGCAGCCGCGCGAAACAAUAGAAAAGCCAUAACUUUCUCCGCACGGCCAUAGUCGUUACAUCCUGUGUUUGGAGUGGCCGCGAGACGCGGAAAAAUCGCCCGUAUCUUGUCCUGUUUUAUUUCUCAAAAAAAGAAGAAAAAAAAAAAGAAAAGAAAAAAGAAAAA